RNAcentral lists this ribosomal RNA (303 nucleotides) under uncultured bacterium. RNAcentral describes it as "partial 16S ribosomal RNA". It matches the Rfam family "Bacterial small subunit ribosomal RNA", at positions 507 to 807 of the family's 1533-position model. The record is from RNAcentral.
AGCAGCCGCCGCGGUAAGACAGAGGAUGCAAGCGUUAUCCGGAAUGAUUGGGCGUAAAGCGUCUGUAGGUGGCUUUUCAAGUCCGCCGUCAAAUCCCAGGGCUCAACCCAUAGUCUGCACAGGAAACUGCGAGGCUGGAGGAUGGGAGAGGUGAGUGGAAUUUCCGGUGUAGCGGCGAAAUGCGUAGAUAUCGGAAGGAACACCUGUGGCGAAAGCGGCUCACUGGACCAUUUCUGACGCUGAUGCACGAAAGCUAGGGGAGCAAACAGGAUUAGAUACCCCUGUAGUCCCUGUCUCUUAUAC